AGAGUUUGAUUCUGGCUCAGGAUGAACGCUGGCGGCGUGCCUAACACAUGCAAGUCGAACGGAGCUAUUUUUAGAGACUUCGGUCAAAGAAGCUUAAGCUUAGUGGCGGACGGGUGAGUAACGCGUGGAGAACCUGCCCUGUACCGGGGGAUAACAGUUGGAAACAGUUGCUAAUACCGCAUAAGCGCACGAGGCCGCAUGGCCUUGUGUGAAAAACUCCGGUGGUACAGGAUGGCUCCGCGUUGGAUUAGCCAGUUGGCGGGGUAACGGCCCACCAAAGCGACGAUCCAUAGCCGGCCUGAGAGGGUGAACGGCCACAUUGGGACUGAGACACGGCCCAGACUCCUACGGGAGGCAGCAGUGGGGAAUAUUGCACAAUGGGGGAAACCCUGAUGCAAGCGACUCCGCGUGAAGGAAGAAGUAUCUCGGUAUGUAAACUUCUAUCAGCAGGGAAGAUGAUGACGGUACCUGACUAAGAAGCCCCGGCUAACUACGUGCCAGCCGCAGC
This 508-nucleotide ribosomal RNA is filed under the name uncultured bacterium. Its description in RNAcentral is "bacterial SSU rRNA". It matches the Rfam family "Bacterial small subunit ribosomal RNA", at positions 8 to 518 of the family's 1533-position model. The record is from RNAcentral.